UACGUAGGGGGCUAGCGUUGUCCGGAAUCAUUGGGCGUAAAGAGCGUGUAGGCGGUCCGGUAAGUCCGCUGUGAAAGUCGGGGGCUCAACCCUCGAAUGCCGGUGGAUACUGUCGGGCUAGAGUGCGGAAGAGGCGAGUGGAAUUCCUGGUGUAGCGGUGAAAUGCGUAGAUAUCAGGAGGAACACCGGUGGCGAAGGCGGGUCUCUGGGCCAUAACUGACGCUGAGAAGCGAAAGCAUGGGGAGCGAACAGG
Molecule: ribosomal RNA, 253 nt
Filed under: uncultured bacterium
Lineage: Bacteria
Description: partial 16S ribosomal RNA
Rfam family: Bacterial small subunit ribosomal RNA
Source: RNAcentral